This 531-nucleotide long non-coding RNA is filed under the name Anser brachyrhynchus (Pink-footed goose). RNAcentral describes it as "lncRNA (ENSABRG00000004249.1)". The record is from RNAcentral. Lineage: Eukaryota; Metazoa; Chordata; Aves; Anseriformes; Anatidae.
AUGGACAUUAACAGAAUAGAGGUAGCAAAAUUCUGCAUCCUGGCCCUGGACCGGGUUGGGCUUCUGCUUCUCAUGGUCAGAAGCCUCCCUCUAUCGACCAACAGUUUCACUGUUCAAGAGAAGGAAGCUCUUGUUAGAAUCAAGAGGAGCCGCCAAUCUACCAGAACAGCCCUGAACAGACCUAUACGCUACCUAGAUUUUACAGAAGACUAUGUACCAGGAGUGAAAUACUAAUGAAAAGUCAUCAGCAUCUGGUAUUCAAAAUCAGAAGGUGGGAGGAAGGAUACCGGGCAUUUGUGCUUAUCUCUGAGUCAGUAUGAUGUAAUUCCAAGGAAACUGUGCCCCUGACUUUUUCUAUGAAAAUGAGUAAAAUAAUGCCUCUUUAUUUCGCAUUUGUUAUAUAUUUUCUUGCUAGUCUUCAUCCUGCCAUUCUACCUACUGCUCAUCAUUGUUCUAAAAGACUAUGGAUGUCUUACUACAAUCCUUCCCCUCAGCAUUCUCACAAAAUUAUUGAUUACACUUAUACUACUG